This 491-nucleotide ribosomal RNA is filed under the name uncultured bacterium. RNAcentral describes it as "partial 16S ribosomal RNA". It matches the Rfam family "Bacterial small subunit ribosomal RNA", at positions 29 to 507 of the family's 1533-position model. The record is from RNAcentral.
GUGAACGCUGGCGGUAGGCCUAACACAUGCAAGUCGCACGGCAGCACAGUAAGAGCUUGCUCUUACGGGUGGCGAGUGGCGGACGGGUGAGGAAUACAUCGGAAUCUACUUUUUCGUGGGGGAUAACGUAGGGAAAUUUACGCUAAUACCGCAUACGACCUACGGGUGAAAGCAGGGGAUCUUCGGACCUUGCGCGAUUGAAUGAGCCGAUGUCGGAUUAGCUAGUUGGCGGGGUAAAGGCCCACCAAGGCGACGAUCCGUAGCUGGUCUGAGAGGAUGAUCAGCCACACUGGAACUGAGACACGGUCCAGACUCCUACGGGAGGCAGCAGUGGGGAAUAUUGGACAAUGGGCGCAAGCCUGAUCCAGCCAUACCGCGUGGGUGAAGAAGGCCUUCGGGUUGUAAAGCCCUUUUGUUGGGAAAGAAAAGCAGCAGGUUAAUACCCCGCUGUUCUGACGGUACCCAAAGAAUAAGCACCGGCUAACUUCGUG